This 898-nucleotide ribosomal RNA is filed under the name uncultured bacterium. RNAcentral's name for it is "bacterial SSU rRNA". It matches the Rfam family "Bacterial small subunit ribosomal RNA", at positions 8 to 916 of the family's 1533-position model. The record is from RNAcentral.
AGAGUUUGAUCCUGGCUCAGGACGAACGCUGGCGGCGUGCUUAACACAUGCAAGUCGAACGGAAAGGCCCUGCUUGCAGGGUACUCGAGUGGCGAACGGGUGAGUAACACGUGGGUGAUCUGCCCUGCACUUCGGGAUAAGCCUGGGAAACUGGGUCUAAUACCGGAUAGGAGCCAUUUUUAGUGUGAUGGUUGGAAAGUUUUUUCGGUGUAGGAUGAGCUCGCGGCCUAUCAGCUUGUUGGUGGGGUAAUGGCCUACCAAGGCGGCGACGGGUAGCCGGCCUGAGAGGGUGGACGGCCACAUUGGGACUGAGAUACGGCCCAGACUCCUACGGGAGGCAGCAGUGGGGAAUAUUGCACAAUGGGCGCAAGCCUGAUGCAGCGACGCCGCGUGGGGGAUGACGGCCUUCGGGUUGUAAACUCCUUUCGCUAGGGACGAAGCUUUUUGUGACGGUACCUAGAUAAGAAGCACCGGCUAACUACGUGCCAGCAGCCGCGGUAAUACGUAGGGUGCGAGCGUUGUCCGGAAUUACUGGGCGUAAAGGGCUCGUAGGUGGUUUGUCGCGUCGUCUGUGAAAUUCCGGGACUUAACUCCGGGCGUGCAGGCGAUACGGGCAUAACUUGGGUACUGUAGGGGUAACUGGAAUUCCUGGUGUAGCGGUGAAAUGCGCAGAUAUCAGGAGGAACACCGAUGGCGAAGGCAGGUUACUGGGCAGUUACUGACGCUGAGGAGCGAAAGCAUGGGUAGCGAACAGGAUUAGAUACCCUGGUAGUCCAUGCCGUAAACGGUGGGCGCUAGGUGUGAGGGUCUUUUCACGACUUUCGUGCCGUAGCUAACGCAUUAAGCCCCCCCGCCUGGGGAGUACGGCCGCAAGGCUAAAACUCAAAGGAAUUGACGG